Molecule: transfer RNA, 72 nt
Filed under: Camelus bactrianus (Bactrian camel)
Lineage: Eukaryota; Metazoa; Chordata; Mammalia; Artiodactyla; Camelidae
Also listed under: 2 other names
Rfam family: tRNA
About the family: Transfer RNA (tRNA) molecules are approximately 80 nucleotides in length. Their secondary structure includes four short double-helical elements and three loops (D, anti-codon, and T loops). Further hydrogen bonds mediate the characteristic L-shaped molecular structure. tRNAs have two regions of fundamental functional importance: the anti-codon, which is responsible for specific mRNA codon recognition, and the 3' end, to which the tRNAs corresponding amino acid is attached (by aminoacyl-tRNA synthetases). tRNAs cope with the degeneracy of the genetic code in two manners: having more than one tRNA (with a specific anti-codon) for a particular amino acid; and 'wobble' base-pairing, i.e. permitting non-standard base-pairing at the 3rd anti-codon position.
Source: Rfam by way of RNAcentral
GAGGGUAAAGCUCAGUGAUAGAGCACAUGCUUAGCAUGCACAAGGUCCUGGAUUCAACCCCUAGUACCCCCA